UACCAGCACCCCGAGUGGUCGUUACGAUUAUUGGGCCUAAAGCAUCCGUAGCCGGUCCUACAAGUCUUCCGUUAAAUCCCCCUGCUCAACAGAUGGGCUGCGGAAGAUACUAUAGGGCUAGGAGGCGGGAGAGGCAAGCGGUACUCAGUGGGUAGGGGUAAAAUCCGCUGAUCCAUUGAAGACCACCAGUGGCGAAGGCGGCUUGCCAGAACGCGCUCGACGGUGAGGGAUGAAAGCUGGGGGAGCAAACCGG
RNAcentral lists this ribosomal RNA (253 nucleotides) under uncultured bacterium. RNAcentral's name for it is "partial 16S ribosomal RNA". It matches the Rfam family "Archaeal small subunit ribosomal RNA", at positions 474 to 727 of the family's 1478-position model. The record is from RNAcentral.